CCUACGGGUGGCAGCAGUGAGGAAUAUUGGUCAAUGGACGCAAGUCUGAACCAGCCAUGCCGCGUGCAGGAAGACGGCUCUAUGAGUUGUAAACUGCUUUUGUACGGGGGUAAACGCAGAUACGCGUAUCUGUCUGAAAGUAUCUUACGAAUAAGGAUCGGCUAACUCCGUGCCAGCAGCCGCGGUAAUACGGAGGAUCCAAGCGUUAUCCGGAUUUAUUGGGUUUAAAGGGUGCGUAGGCGGGUGGAUAAGUUAGAGGUGAAAGCUCGAGGCUCAACUGCGGAAUUGCCUCUGAUACUGUGCGGCUAGAGAGUAGUUGAGGUAGGCGGAAUGGAUGGUGGAGCGGUGAAAUGCUUAGAGAUCAUAAAGAACACCGAUUGCGAAGGCAGCUUACCAAGCUACAUCUGACGUUGAGGCACGAAAGCGUGGGGAGCAAACAGGAUUAGAUACCCCAGUAGUC
RNAcentral lists this ribosomal RNA (460 nucleotides) under uncultured bacterium. Its description in RNAcentral is "partial 16S ribosomal RNA". It matches the Rfam family "Bacterial small subunit ribosomal RNA", at positions 338 to 795 of the family's 1533-position model. The record is from RNAcentral.